UUCGCUUCUUGGCCUUUUGGCUAAGAUCAAAUAUAGUAUCUGUUCUUAUCAGUUUAAUAUCUGAUGCGUCCUCCAUUCGAGGACUUUAUAUUAAACAGAUUUUUAGAGCGGCCACCUGGUAUUACAGUAUGUAACAAAUGUCAAAGAUGGGCAAGAAGGACAAGAAGAGAGUCUCCAGCUGCUCCUUUCCCUCC
This is a small nuclear RNA of Pangasianodon hypophthalmus (striped catfish), 194 nucleotides long. RefSeq annotates it as U2 spliceosomal RNA. The record is from RefSeq and is a predicted model, not a curated record. The transcript has a single exon. NCBI's taxonomy places the organism in Eukaryota, Metazoa, Chordata, Actinopteri, Siluriformes, Pangasiidae.